RNAcentral lists this ribosomal RNA (838 nucleotides) under uncultured archaeon. RNAcentral's name for it is "bacterial SSU rRNA". It matches the Rfam family "Archaeal small subunit ribosomal RNA", at positions 19 to 832 of the family's 1478-position model. The record is from RNAcentral.
GGACCCUACUGCUAUCGGGGUGGGACUAAAACAUGCAAGUCGAGCGCCUCCAAGCUAUGGUGAAGGCGCGGCAAACGGCUCAGUAACACGUGGCCAACCUACCCUUGGGACGGAGACAACCCCGGGAAACUGGGGCUAAUCCCCGAUAGGUGAGGAAUCCUGGAAUGGACCCUCGCCCAAAAGACGUUGAGUCCAUGCUAUUCAGCGUCGCCCAAGGAUGGAGCCGCGACCGAUCAGGUAGUUGGUGAGGCAACGGCUCACCAAGCCUAUAACCGGUACGGGCCGUGAGAGCGGGAGCCCGGAGAUGGGCACUGAGACAAGGGCCCAGGCCCUACGGGGCGCAGCAGUUGCGAAAACUCCGCAAUGCGCGAAAGCGUGACGGGGCUACCCCGAGUGCCGCCCGUUGAGGGCGGCUUUUCCACGGUGUAAGGAGCCGUGGGAAUAAGGAGAGGGCAAGACUGGUGUCAGCCGCCGCGGUAAUACCAGCUCUCCGAGUGGUGGGGACGAUUAUUGGGCUUAAAGCGUUCGUAGCCGGCUUAACAAGUCUUCCGUUAAAUCCAACGAUCUAAUCGUUGGGCUGCGGGAGAUACUGUUGGGCUAGGAGGCGGGAGAAGCCGACGGUAUUCUCGGGGUAGGGGUGAAAUCCUGUAAUCCCGGGAGGACCACCAGUGGCGAANGCGGUCGGCUAGAACGCGCUCGACGGUGAGGGACGAAAGCUGGGGGANCGAACCGGAUUAGAAACCCGGGUAGUCCCAGCUGUAAACGAUGCGGGCUNGGUGUUGGGGUGGCCACGAGCCACUUCAGUGCCGCAUGGAAGCAAUUAAGCCCGCCGCCUGGG